This 265-nucleotide ribosomal RNA is filed under the name uncultured prokaryote. RNAcentral describes it as "partial 16S ribosomal RNA". It matches the Rfam family "Bacterial small subunit ribosomal RNA", at positions 524 to 788 of the family's 1533-position model. The record is from RNAcentral.
UACGGAGGAUCCGAGCGUUAUCCGGAUUUACUGGGCGUAAAGGGAGCGUAGGCGGACUUUUAAGUGAGAUGUGAAAUACCCGGGCUCAACUUGGGUGCUGCAUUUCAAACUGGAAGUCUAGAGUGCAGGAGAGGAGAAUGGAAUUCCUAGUGUAGCGGUGAAAUGCGUAGAGAUUAGGAAGAACACCAGUGGCGAAGGCGAUUCUCUGGACUGUAACUGACGCUGAGGCUCGAAAGCGUGGGGAGCAAACAGGAUUAGAUACCCU